RNAcentral lists this ribosomal RNA (440 nucleotides) under uncultured bacterium. RNAcentral describes it as "partial 16S ribosomal RNA". It matches the Rfam family "Bacterial small subunit ribosomal RNA", at positions 338 to 795 of the family's 1533-position model. The record is from RNAcentral.
CCUACGGGAGGCAGCAGUGGGGGAUAUUGCACAAUGGGGGGAACCCUGAUGCAGCGACGCCGCGUGGGUGAAGAAGCGCCUCGGCGCGUAAAGCCCUGUCAGCAGGGAAGAAAAUGACGGUACCUGAAGCAGAAGCCCCGGCUAACUCCGUGCCAGCAGCCGCGGUAAUACGGAGGGUGCGAGCGUUAAUCGGAAUUACUGGGCGUAAAGCGCUCGUAGGCGGUAUGUCAAGUCAAGGGGGAAAUCCCCGGGCGUAACGUGGGAACUGCCGUUGAAACUGGCAAACUGGAGUGUGUGAGAGGUGUGUGGAAUGCCAGGUGUAGGAGGGAAAUCCGUAGAUAUCUGGAGGAACAUCAGUGGCGAAGGCGACUAUCUGGCACAGAACUGACGCUGAGGAGCGAAAGCGUGGGUAGCGAACAGGAUUAGAUACCCCGGUAGUC